Molecule: transfer RNA, 80 nt
Filed under: Caudoviricetes sp.
Lineage: Duplodnaviria; Heunggongvirae; Uroviricota; Caudoviricetes
Description: tRNA-OTHER
Rfam family: tRNA
About the family: Transfer RNA (tRNA) molecules are approximately 80 nucleotides in length. Their secondary structure includes four short double-helical elements and three loops (D, anti-codon, and T loops). Further hydrogen bonds mediate the characteristic L-shaped molecular structure. tRNAs have two regions of fundamental functional importance: the anti-codon, which is responsible for specific mRNA codon recognition, and the 3' end, to which the tRNAs corresponding amino acid is attached (by aminoacyl-tRNA synthetases). tRNAs cope with the degeneracy of the genetic code in two manners: having more than one tRNA (with a specific anti-codon) for a particular amino acid; and 'wobble' base-pairing, i.e. permitting non-standard base-pairing at the 3rd anti-codon position.
Source: RNAcentral
UGCCCUGUAGUUUAGUUGGUAAAACAUUAGGCACAUAAGAAUGUCUAAGAAUUGGGGUUCGAUUCCUCGACGAGGCGCUA